This 1206-nucleotide long non-coding RNA is filed under the name Neogobius melanostomus (round goby). Its description in RNAcentral is "lncRNA (ENSNMLG00000017786.1)". The record is from RNAcentral. Lineage: Eukaryota; Metazoa; Chordata; Actinopteri; Gobiiformes; Gobiidae.
GCCGAGGGUUACACCUGCGACUGUUACCACGGAUACGAGCUGGACCUGACGGCCAUGACCUGCAUUGACAUAAACGAGUGCGAGGGCGGCGUGCGGCUGGAGUAUCCGUGUGUCAACGCUCGCUGCGUCAACACCGAGGGCUCAUACCGCUGCGUGUGUCGCCGUGGAUACGUGCUGUCACAGCGGCCGCAUUACUGUGUGGCCGCGUGAACCACAUCUCCCCCUAUAGCCCCAUCACUGAACUACAGCGCCCCCUACAGGGCCAUCGCUGAACUACAGCUCCCCCUACAGCCCCAUCACUGAACUACAGCCCAUCACUGAACUACAGCGCCCCCUACAGCCCCAUCACUGAACUACAGCGCCCCUUACAGACCUAUCACUGAACUACAGCGCCCCUUACAGACCUAUCACUGAACUACAGCUCCCCCUACAGCCCCAUCACUGAACUACAGCCCCAUCACUGAACUACAGCUCCCACUACAGCCCCCAUCACUGAACUACAGCGCCCCUUACAGACCUAUCACUGAACUACAGCGCCCCUUACAGACCUAUCACUGAACUACAGCGCCCCCUACAGCCCCAUCACUGAACUAACGGCUCCCCCUACAGCCCCAUCACUGAACUACAGCUCCCACUACAGACCUAUCACUGAACUACAGGCCCCUACAGCCCCAUCACUGAACUACAGCUCCCCUACAGCCCCAUCACUGAACUACAGCUCCCCUACAGCCCCAUCACUGAACUACAGCUCCCCCUACAGCCCCAUCACUGAACUACAGCUCCCACUACAGCCCUAUCACUGAACUACAGCUCCCCCUACAGCCCCAUCACUGAACUACAGCUCCCACUACAGCCCUAUCACUGAACUACAGCUCCCCCUACAGCCCUAUCACUGAACUACAGCUCCCCCUACAGCCCCAUCACUGAACUACAGCUCCCCUUACAGACCUAUCACUGAACUACAGCUCCCACUACAGCCCUAUCACUGAACUACAGCUCCCCUACAGCCCCAUCACUGAACUACAGCUCCCACUACAGCCCUAUCACUGAACUAGAGCUCCCCUACAGACCUAUCACUGAACUACAGUGCCCCCUACAGCCCCAUCACUGAACUACAGCUCCCCCUACAGCUCCAUCACCGCUCUCGUUUCAGCUGUAUUCACUUCAAGUCAGUUCAGUCGCAUUCACAGGCUCUCGCUCCAAAAG